This 826-nucleotide long non-coding RNA is filed under the name Mus musculus (house mouse). RNAcentral describes it as "long non-coding RNA chr2:126864502-126865328". Lineage: Eukaryota; Metazoa; Chordata; Mammalia; Rodentia; Muridae. The record is from RNAcentral.
GAUGAAUGUAUCCUUUCUAGCCAUCAGCUGACAGAAACUCAUUGAAGUAGGUGUAGGCAAUGAACGUACACUUUGUACUUUCUAUGAGAAGCGCAUGGCCAUAGAAGUAGCUGCUGCUGUUUCUGAGUAAAAAGUACAAGGGUUAUGUGAUCAGAAUCAUUAGUGGGAACCACAAACGAGGUUUUCCCAUGAAAACCUUGAGCCUUGAGCCAGAAGAGUGCACCUGCUGUUGAGUAUGGGUUGUUACAGACCAAGGGAAGCUGGGGAAAGGAAGCGUAAGUCUAUUGUGGAAGAAAUUGUAGAUGCCAAUCCGAGCAGGCUCAACUUGGGUACUGUUAUGAGAAAGAGAGGGUGAGGGUGACAGAGAGAGAGAGGAAGAGAAAGAUGAGAAAGAGGAGCAUGUGCAUGGGGUUGUGGGGGGUUGAAAGAGAGACAGAGACAGGUAAGAAUGAGAGAGAUUAUUCCUGGACUAAUAGAUACAACUGAGCUUCAAUCACUGGGGCCCAAAAGAGUUCAGAGUCUGAAAGUUCUCUAUCUUUAAAGAAGAUGAUGUCCAUCAAUUUGCUGUCAGAUAGUCCUUGAACAAAGAAUAUAAGGAACUUAAGACCAAAGCACCUAAGACUGUGCAUCUUGUUACUCCACAUGUCCUACAACACAAAUGUCAACGUAUUACUCUGAAGAAACAAGAAAACAAGAUUUCAAAACAUGCCAAACUUUAGCCAAGAGAAUAAAGGAAGCCAAAGAAAUAUGCCAGAAACCGAUUGCCAAGAGACAUAGGGCUGUCUGUGAAUUUCUACUUCUAAAUCUGAGUCCAGUAAGAAAUAAC